GAUGAACGCUGGCGGCGUGCCUAAUACAUGCAAGUCGAGCGAACAGAUAAGGAGCUUGCUCCUUUGACGUUAGCGGCGGACGGGUGAGUAACACGUGGAUAACCUACCUAUAAGACUGGGAUAACUUCGGGAAACCGGAGCUAAUACCGGAUAACAUAUUGAACCGCAUGGUUCAAUAGUGAAAGGCGGCUUUGCUGUCACUUAUAGAUGGAUCCGCGCCGUAUUAGCUAGUUGGUAAGGUAACGGCUUACCAAGGCAACGAUACGUAGCCGACCUGAGAGGGUGAUCGGCCACAGUGAAACUGAGACGCGGCCCAGGCUCCUACGGAGGCAGCAGUAGGGAAUCUGCCGCAAUGGGCGAAAGCCUGACGGAGCAACGCCGCGUGAGUGAUGAAGGUCUUCGGAUCGUAAAACUCUGUUAUCAGGGAAGAACAAAUGUGUAAGUAACUGUGCACAUCUUGACGGUACCUGAUCAGAAAGCCACGGCUAACUACGUG
Molecule: ribosomal RNA, 496 nt
Filed under: uncultured bacterium
Lineage: Bacteria
Description: partial 16S ribosomal RNA
Rfam family: Bacterial small subunit ribosomal RNA
Source: RNAcentral